Molecule: non-coding RNA, 71 nt
Organism: Cordylochernes scorpioides
Lineage: Eukaryota; Metazoa; Arthropoda; Arachnida; Pseudoscorpiones; Chernetidae
Source: the annotation of a GenBank genome assembly
GUGAGCCGAGCGGUCUAAGGCGCUGGUUCAAGGCCUCCUCGGAGGCGUGGGUUCGAAUCCCACCGCUGCCA